RNAcentral lists this ribosomal RNA (776 nucleotides) under Dehalococcoidales bacterium. RNAcentral's name for it is "bacterial SSU rRNA". It matches the Rfam family "Bacterial small subunit ribosomal RNA", at positions 1 to 803 of the family's 1533-position model. The record is from RNAcentral. Lineage: Bacteria; Bacillati; Chloroflexota; Dehalococcoidia; Dehalococcoidales.
UGUCCGGAGGGUUUGAUCCUGGCUCAGGAUGAACGCUGGCGGCGUGCCUUAUGCAUGCAAGUCGAACGAGCCACUUCGGUGGCUAGUGGCGAACGGGUGAGUAACACGUAAGUAACCUGCCCUUAAGUGGGGGAUAACCUCGGGAAACUGGGGCUAAUACCGCGUGUGGUCCUUUACUGCAAGGUGAAGGACUAAAGCCUUCGGGUGCUUAGGGAGGGGCUUGCGUCUGAUUAGUUAGUUGGUGGGGUAACUGCCUACCAAGGCGAUGAUCGGUAGCUGGUUUGAGAGGACGGUCAGCCACAUUGGGACUGAGACACGGCCCAGACUCCUACGGGAGGCAGCAGCAAGGAAUUUUGUGCAAUGGGCGAAAGCCUGACACAGCAACGCCGCGUGGGGGAUGAAUGCCUUCGGGUUGUAAACCCCUUUUCUCAGGGACGAAUAAUGACGGUACCUGAGGAAUAAGCCUCGGCUAACUACGUGCCAGCAGCCGCGGUAAUACGUAGGAGGCGAGCGUUAUCCGGAUUUACUGGGCGUAAAGGGGGCGCAGGCGGCCUUUCAAGUCGGAUGUAAAAUCUCUCGGCUUAACCGAGAGGGACCAUUCGAUACUGUUGGGCUAGAGAGCAGCAGGGGGAGGUGGAAUUCCCGGUGGGGUGGUGAAAUGCGUAGAUAUCGGGAGGAACACCAGUGGCGAAGGCGGCCUCCUGGGCUGUUUCUGACGCUGAGGCCCAAAAGCGUGGGGAGCGAACAGGAUUAGAUACCCUGGUAGUCCACGCCCU